CCCUGGGACUCUGAACCACGGUCACUUCCACCUCCUCUGAACAGCUCCGUCAUAAGCCCCCUGCUGCCCUUGGGAGUCUCCUGUUUUGGAAUUUGAGCUCCAAAGCUGCUUCCUGGCUCUGCAGAUGGCUUCUCCCCACACCAGAACCGCUGGGGUCUCCUCUGUCACCCUGGAGCAGUUCUGAUCAGGACAUUCUUCCACCACCGCCCCGACCCCCCGUUGAAGAGAAAUCCCAACAUAAUCAAGACAGGGCUGCUUGGCAGGACACAGGUGUUACAGAGAGGAGUACCUGAGGGAAGGACAGAGGACAGGGAGCAGAGAGACAGGCUGCAGGAGCAGCUUCCCAGAGUGGAGCAAAGUAUACUGUCACUCCGAGAUGCUCUGUGUUGGCAUGGUAACGGUUAUCCAUGUAAAUAGCUGACCAUAUUUAAUUAAUAAAUGGAAAACAAAGGAGUGGGAGGGAAGUGAGGGGGCUCAGUGUUGGCUGGCUCCUCUCCUCGCAUCUGAGGGCUGAUGGAUUUUUCUGAGUGGGCAGUGGAUUCUGGCAAGAAAUAAGAGACUUCUCAGACUGCCCAGUGCUCACAGUGUUGAAUGGAAGCAGACCCUGCCUCAGCAGAGCAAGACCUGGGGAAGUCCUGGACAGUGCCCUGGGCACAGUGAAGCCAUCUCUGCAGUAACAGCAACAACGAAGGUGAUGGGUGUUACCCUGUGCUACCCUGCCAUGCUCUUCACCUAUGUUACUUUAAUCUACAUAAACAGGGACACUGCGGGGAAGAGGCUAGUGCUACCAUUUUUUAAAGAUGAGAACAAUGAAGCUGGGAGAGGUUAAAUGACUUGACCAAGGUCACAUCGUUAGUAAGAGGCUUUGGUAGUCUGUACAUGAUCUUUGUACAGUCACCUCUCAUUGAAUCAAGGCUGGCCUGGUGAUGUGGCCUAAGCUACACAAUACAACCAACGCCGUGUGAGAGCACCCAGCUCCCCUGGAAAGAAGCCUCCAGCUGCUCUCUGUGCCCUUGGAGCCCAGAGCCACCAUGUAGGAAGCCCAGUCAUCCUGCUGGAGAGACUCUAUGGCUAAUAAGAAGGAGGGGGAGAGGGAGAGGGAGAGAGAGAUGAGUCCAGACUGCAGGUGACCCACCACUGGAGACCACCAGCAA
Heterocephalus glaber (naked mole-rat) is the source of this 1154-nucleotide non-coding RNA. The record is from RefSeq and is a predicted model, not a curated record. NCBI's taxonomy places the organism in Eukaryota, Metazoa, Chordata, Mammalia, Rodentia, Bathyergidae.